Molecule: transfer RNA, 73 nt
Filed under: Ciona intestinalis (vase tunicate)
Lineage: Eukaryota; Metazoa; Chordata; Ascidiacea; Phlebobranchia; Cionidae
Description: tRNA-Val (TAC) (tRNA-Val-TAC-11-1)
Rfam family: tRNA
About the family: Transfer RNA (tRNA) molecules are approximately 80 nucleotides in length.
Source: Rfam by way of RNAcentral
GUUUCCGUAGUGUAGUGGUAAUCACGUUUGCUUUACACGCGAAAGGUCAACGGUUCGAGCCCGGGCGGAAACA